Molecule: ribosomal RNA, 485 nt
Filed under: uncultured bacterium
Lineage: Bacteria
Description: bacterial SSU rRNA
Rfam family: Bacterial small subunit ribosomal RNA
Source: RNAcentral
UAGCUAUUUAGGUUAGAGUUUGAUCCUGGCUCAGAGCGAACGCUGGCGGCAGGCUUAACACAUGCAAGUCGAGCGGGCGUAGCAAUACGUCAGCGGCAGACGGGUGAGUAACGCGUGGGAACAUACCUUUUGGUUCGGAACAACCCAGGGAAACUUGGGCUAAUACCGGAUAAGCCCUUACGGGGAAAGAUUUAUCGCCGAAAGAUUGGCCCGCGUCUGAUUAGCUAGUUGGUGAGGUAACGGCUCACCAAGGCGACGAUCAGUAGCUGGUCUGAGAGGAUGAUCAGCCACAUUGGGACUGAGACACGGCCCAAACUCCUACGGGAGGCAGCAGUGGGGAAUAUUGGACAAUGGGCGCAAGCCUGAUCCAGCCAUGCCGCGUGAGUGAUGAAGGCCCUAGGGUUGUAAAGCUCUUUUGUGCGGGAAGAUAAUGACGGUACCGCAAGAAUAAGCCCCGGCUAACUUCGUGCCAGCAGCCGCGGUAG